GUUUCCGUAGCUCAGCCGGAUAGAGCGUCCGUCUUCUAAGCGGAAGGUGACCUAAAACCUCCGGCACCA
This 69-nucleotide transfer RNA is filed under the name Oscillibacter valericigenes Sjm18-20. RNAcentral's name for it is "tRNA-Arg (TCT) (tRNA-Arg-TCT-2-1)". It matches the Rfam family "tRNA". From Rfam's summary of the family: Transfer RNA (tRNA) molecules are approximately 80 nucleotides in length. Lineage: Bacteria; Bacillati; Bacillota; Clostridia; Eubacteriales; Oscillospiraceae. The record is from RNAcentral.